Long non-coding RNA from Myotis brandtii (Brandt's bat), 436 nucleotides. RefSeq lists it as uncharacterized. Lineage: Eukaryota; Metazoa; Chordata; Mammalia; Chiroptera; Vespertilionidae. The record is from RefSeq and is a predicted model, not a curated record. The transcript has 3 exons.
CUGUGUUGGGAGCCAGUCACGGAGUGUGUUGUGUGGGACUCAGGGAGGGAAUUUAACUCAGGCACGGGAGUGAGGGCAUCAGGGAGGACUUCCUGGAAAAAGUGACAUCUAAGCCGAGUCCUGAGAAAGAGAUCUAUCAUUCUAACUGCAGGCCAGGGGGUGGAGAGGGCCUGGCAUUUUCUGAGAAGAGCCGCAAGUUCAGCAAAGCUGGAGCCGAGUCAAGGAGAUUCCUGAGCUGCAGUUUGAAAAGCACUGACCCGGAGGGAGGCCUCUCAGAAAGCACAGGGAGGCUGCGGCCUUUGUUCCUUCUUACCGUUUGACAGACGACUUUGCUGAGACCAGAGAGCAGGUCCCAGUGUCUCCCAAAUGGGGACCUCACUUAGCUCCCACCCAUCUCUCCGUGAGGCCCUGGUCCUGUUACCUGCUCUGGUCAUUG